This is a non-coding RNA of Paramuricea clavata, 1534 nucleotides long. The record is from the annotation of a GenBank genome assembly. Lineage: Eukaryota; Metazoa; Cnidaria; Anthozoa; Malacalcyonacea; Plexauridae.
AGUGUUUUUUUUUUCCGAUCGGAGAAACGUAUCGAAAAAUAAAAAUUUUGAUUUUAGUCAUAAUCUGAUGUGGUAUAUUAUACUCAUUAGUUUCGAGCGCGUGUUACGUAACAUACAAAAAAUCUCAUUUAAAGAUUUGGGAACAAUGCUAUACCAAGGCAGCAUUCACUACCCUGUGGGUAAACUAGUUCUAAACAUUAAAAAGUUGGUCAAAAUGUUUUGUUGUUGGUCAAAGGAAAUAUUGGGAGUAAAUGCGCUAAACAUAUGAAGAAAUACACCGUCUUUCAUCAAUAUUGAAAUUUGGCAAAAAUUUGUUUUUGGUCAAAAUAUAUUGAGAAAAAAAUGCCAUUAAAUUUUGACUGUAGUGUGCAUUGCCCCAUCACCAAUUAGUGUUUGUUUUGGGACCAGUUUUUGUCAAUAACUCUGAGUGACAGUUUUACAAUCAACACGGAUCUUGCAAUUCCAGCGUUUAUCGCGGAGAUACUCGAAACCGUGAGACCGCAAAUACUGUGGCCGGACUGCACAUUUAACAAGCAGCAACGAUCAUUAAUUUCCCUAACUGUAUAUAUAGGCUAAGUGCUAAAGAAUUAUAGUUUAAAUAAUAUAUCGAGUGUCAGUCUAUUAAUAAUUAUAUUAAAACAAUUAUCCGGUUAGCUGAUUACAUAUGAUUAAUAUCGUGCAGAUUACACGGCUAUGUAGAUUUGCAUGACCUCUCUCGUAAGAAAACAGAAAGUUGGUCAAUUUCAUUGAAAACGUUGGUCUAUUUGUAUGACGGCCCCCAAUCAUGAGUCGUUCGCCGCGCCCCUGAACUUACGACCGACACGCAUAAAUAAGACUGUGAUCGCUUAUACUAACAUGAGAGAUACCAGAGCAAACAACUUUAUCAGGAGUAUUUGUGAAGAUUAUAUGAGUAAUUGAGUAUCAAUGUAGAGGAGAAGUCUGGGAUUCAAGUGGGUUCAUUUAUAAGCUGAGAAAGAAGAUAUAAAUCAGCAAUAUCCAUGAGUAACUUCGAACUAUGAUCUAAGACUGUAGGGAAUCAAGAUAUACCUAAAAGUGUUUUAUAAUGAUUAAAUUUUACAACGGGCGAAUUUGAUGGCCUAUACCAAGUGGCCCAGUAGUGAGACAAGGCUUGGAUCUACCCUAAAAUGCACAAAUUUUCAAAUUGUUGAAAUGAUAGAUUAUGCAAAAUCGAAAUAUUAAGGAAACUACGUAUAUAGAAAUAAACACCUUCGCCAAAUCUACCAUUGAAAUCUCGUACAAUUUCGUAGCCAUGUAUACAGCUAUUUCAAUUAGAUCGUGACUAAAACACCACACGAGUACACACGAGUAACAUACGAGUAACACACAAGAACAUACGAGUACAUACGAGUAACAUACGAGUACAUACGAGUAACAUACGAGUACAUACGAGCAACAUACGAGUACAUACAAGUACACACGAGUAACGGCUAUCUUUAAAAUAGGGAACGGGAAUGCGGGAAUGGGGGAAUGCGGGAAUGGGGGAAUGCGGGAAUGGGGGAACAGGGAAUGGGGG